Molecule: transfer RNA, 57 nt
Filed under: Schistocephalus solidus
Lineage: Eukaryota; Metazoa; Platyhelminthes; Cestoda; Diphyllobothriidea; Diphyllobothriidae
Rfam family: tRNA
About the family: Transfer RNA (tRNA) molecules are approximately 80 nucleotides in length. Their secondary structure includes four short double-helical elements and three loops (D, anti-codon, and T loops).
Source: Rfam by way of RNAcentral
GAGCCCGUGGCUCAAUGCUUAGAGCAUUUGACUUCUGAUCCAAAAGUCGCGGGUUCA